ACCACAUCAGGAUGUGUUUGCGGUCACCUCUCUAACUUUUGUCCGGCAGAAGUCCGUCGUCCUCGGCUCCUCUCCAUCCUCCGUCCCCAGCGGUUGUUGGGUAAACUCCUCUGCGGCAGCGGCAUGACGUUCCGGAGGAAAUGCUGGGACCAUACUUGAAGUCUUCUGAUCCUCAGGAUGGUCAAGGGAGCCGCUCCUUCAAGUUCCCUGUCCUGUUUCUGAGGAGGGUCACCGGGGUCAUACUCAAUGUUCUCUGUCCCUGAGGAUGGUCGCCGUUCCUCCCUCUUGGUCAUGUUUCCUGUUUCAGAGAAGGGUCAUCCCUACAUGUUUCUUGUCCCUGAGUCAUUGGGACUGCUCGUCUUCAGGUCUGUUACUAAGGAGGGGUUCUCUUUGUAACCCCUUAAUGUUGAUGGGCGGCAGGAAUCUUAACUUUUUUUCUGUUUUAGCUUUUCUAUUGUUUGGUCCUUCCCUCCCAAGUGUUAUGUUUGGGCAUCUGGGACCUGCCCUUUUGGGGAGGGGUACUGUGAGGAUUCUGCACUUGGAUCUUUGAGACGUUUCUUUAGUUUUUGUCAUGUUCUGGAUUCCUUGUCAGUCUGCAGGUUAAGCUUGAUCACUCACAGCCGUCUUAUUUGGUUAAUGACCUCCAGUGUAUUUAAUUGUCUGUUUUUAUCUUCAUUGUCAUGUUUGUCACUUUUCUGUGUCACCCUUGACUUUUGUCAUGUUUGAGUUUAUUGUUUAAAUGUCUCCAGCAUUUUGGGUCCUACACUUCCAGUUCCUGACAAACAAAUGUACAUUAUUUAGUCAAUUGGAACUUGUAAUAAACUGUACCAAAUGA
Molecule: long non-coding RNA, 835 nt
Organism: Oryzias melastigma (Indian medaka)
Lineage: Eukaryota; Metazoa; Chordata; Actinopteri; Beloniformes; Adrianichthyidae
Exons: 2
Source: RefSeq, a predicted model, not a curated record